RNAcentral lists this ribosomal RNA (2038 nucleotides) under human gut metagenome. RNAcentral describes it as "eukaryotic LSU rRNA". It matches the Rfam family "Eukaryotic large subunit ribosomal RNA", at positions 575 to 2320 of the family's 3401-position model. The record is from RNAcentral.
GCUCUUCCGAUCUGAUGACUGUUGGUGAAGUGGCAAUGGUAGAUGUUGUGAUGGUGUGGAUAUGGUGAAUUGACCCGUCUUGAAACACGGACCAAGGAGUCUCAUUUAUUUGUGAAGAUAAGGGAGUUGUGACAUUGGUGUAUCUGGAAUGAAGAUGAAGUUUAGAUGUGAAAGUGUGUUUUAGAAGACAACACAAGCAAUAUUGAUUCACUCUGUUUUUUCAACAGGGACAGAAUUUGAAUGAAUAGAUGAGGACCCGAAAGAUGGUGAACUAUACUUGGAGAGAAAGAAGUCAGGGGAAACUCUGAUGGAUGUUCGUAGCAGUGCUAACGUGCAAAUUGCUUGUGGGAACUGAGUAUAGGGGCGAAAGACUCAUCGAACCAUCUAGUAGCUGGUUCCCUCCGAAUUUUCCCUCAGGAUUGCAGUGAUUUGGAAAUAGUUAUAUCAAGUAAAGAUAAUGAUUAGAAUCUUGUGUUUUUCUGCUUUUCUCUUUUUGGGAAUUGCAGAGACACAGUUAAGGGGACAAGAAUGGUCCUUUUGUUAUUCUCAAACUUAGAAGUGGUAUAGACGUGGCUGGACUCAUGGGCUUAAGAAGUUGGAUGGGUCUGGUGGGAAAUAGAGCAAAUGAUUAGUGGGCCUAAUCUGGUAAGCAGAAGAGGCGAUGUGGGAUGAACCAAAGGGAAAGUUAAGGGGUCUAAAGUAAGGCACACAAGGACGCCAGAAAGGGAGUUGAUUGAUGGAGACAGCAGGACGGUGGCCACGGAAGUUGGAUGACCCGCCAAGAAGUGUGUAACAACUUACCUGCCGAAUUGAUGAGUCCCGAAAAUGGAUGACGCUGGAGUGCUUAGCAUCAUAGUUUCCCAAUACUUUUCUAUCACAGCGAGUUUGAUUUGUUGAUUGGUUAGUUGUGAUAAGUAGGAGGAAGCGCAUGGGGAGUGUGGAAGCUGGGUGGGGAGACUCAGUGUGGAACAACCUGUGGUGCAGAUCUUGGUGGUAGUAGCAAUUACUCGAGUGGGACGCUCGAGGACCAAAGUGGAGAAGGGUUUCAAGACAAUGGCAAGCAGUCAUGAGUGAGUCGGUGCUGAAGAGUAGGGGCAACCCGUGGGAAUUGCGUGACACGUGAUGGUGACGCAUGACUGUGAAAGGCAAAUGUGUUAAGAAUGACAUACCUUGCUGGUCGUAUUUAGGGUGAUGGGGUGUUGUGUGUGGUUUGUGUGCCAGUGAUGGUGUGUGGACGUGUGCAAUGCUUAGGCGUCACCUGGUGAUGGAUGGCAACAUGAAGGAAUUCCGCGACGGCUGUCAGCAUUUCCGUAAAAGUUAUCUUUUGUUAAUAAUCCACAUAGUGAGUGUGAUUGGUGUAUUGUGUAAGCAUUACAUUUUGAUUGCAUUUGUAGAAGGAAAGCCAAGAAAGUGAAUGGAUUGGAGCAGUGGCUGGUGGUGGAGAAUAGCAGUUAGGAGUUGUGGUGACACAGCUAGGACUGGUGGAAGAAUGUAGGUGAUGGCGACGUGAAAAGCGGGAGGAGCAGAACUGGUGUGGAUUGUGUUGUGGAUUGGCAGUGUAUUUCAUUGUUGGUUUGUGAUGUGAUUGAGACACUGGGAGUGGAUAAAGAAGCAAGACCGUACCGAUGACCGCAACAGGUCUCCGAGGUUAGAAGCCUUUGGUGGAAUAGAAGAAAGUAGGUAAGGGAAGUCGGCAAAUUAGUACCGUAAGUUUGCAAGAAGGUAUGGCUCCAAAUUUGUGAUUGUGAAUGUCUUUUGAGUUGGUCAUGUAUUGUGAUAGAUUUGUGAUUGACUUGAAGUUUUGGGACGUUGAACAGGAAAUGUUUGGAACUGAUAGAAAGAAAGGGAAUUGGACUGUAUAAUAAAAACAAAGCAUUGUGAUGGUGUAGACAAGCGUGUAGACACAAUGUGAAUUCUGCCCAGUGCUGAGAAUGUCAAAGUGAAGAGAUUUAAGGAAGCACGGGUUAACGGCGGGAGUAACUAUGACUCUCUUAAGGUAGCCAAAUGCCUCGUCAUCUAAUUAGUGACGCGCAUGAAU